GAUGAACGCUGGCGGCGUGCCUAAUACAUGCAAGUCGAGCGAACAGACGAGGAGCUUGCUCCUCUGACGUUAGCGGCGGACGGGUGAGUAACACGUGGAUAACCUACCUAUAAGACUGGGAUAACUUCGGGAAACCGGAGCUAAUACCGGAUAAUAUAUUGAACCGCAUGGUUCAAUAGUGAAAGACGGUUUUGCUGUCACUUAUAGAUGGAUCCGCGCCGCAUUAGCUAGUUGGUAAGGUAACGGCUUACCAAGGCAACGAUGCGUAGCCGACCUGAGAGGGGGAUCGGCCACACUGGAGCUGAGACACGGUCCAGACUCCUACGGGAGGCAGCAGUAGGGAAUCUUCCGCAAUGGGCGAAAGCCUGACGGAGCAACGCCGCGUGAGUGAUGAAGGUCUUCGGAUCGUAAAACUCUGUUAUUAGGGAAGAACAAAUGUGUAAGUAACUAUGCACGUCUUGACGGUACCUAAUCAGAAAGCAACGGCUAACUACGUG
RNAcentral lists this ribosomal RNA (497 nucleotides) under uncultured bacterium. Its description in RNAcentral is "partial 16S ribosomal RNA". It matches the Rfam family "Bacterial small subunit ribosomal RNA", at positions 28 to 507 of the family's 1533-position model. The record is from RNAcentral.